GAUGAACGCUGGCGGCGUGCUUAACACAUGCAAGUCGAACGAAGCACUUUAUUUGAUUUCCUUCGGGACUGAUUAUUUUGUGACUGAGUGGCGGACGGGUGAGUAACGCGUGGGUAACCUGCCUUGUACAGGGGGAUAACAGUUGGAAACGGCUGCUAAUACCGCAUAAGCGCACAGCAUCGCAUGAUGCAGUGUGAAAAACUCCGGUGGUAUAAGAUGGACCCGCGUUGGAUUAGCUAGUUGGUGAGGUAACGGCCCACCAAGGCGACGAUCCAUAGCCGACCUGAGAGGGUGACCGGCCACAUUGGGACUGAGACACGGCCCAAACUCCUACGGGAGGCAGCAGUGGGGAAUAUUGCACAAUGGGCGAAAGCCUGAUGCAGCGACGCCGCGUGAGCGAAGAAGUAUUCGGUAUGUAAAGCUCUAUCAGCAGGGAAGAUAAAUGACGGUACCUGACUAAGAAGC
RNAcentral lists this ribosomal RNA (465 nucleotides) under uncultured bacterium. Its description in RNAcentral is "bacterial SSU rRNA". It matches the Rfam family "Bacterial small subunit ribosomal RNA", at positions 28 to 491 of the family's 1533-position model. The record is from RNAcentral.